This 631-nucleotide long non-coding RNA is filed under the name Medicago truncatula (barrel medic). RNAcentral's name for it is "long non-coding RNA (MTRU_LNC008623)". The record is from RNAcentral. Lineage: Eukaryota; Viridiplantae; Streptophyta; Magnoliopsida; Fabales; Fabaceae.
UUUCAAAUUCUUUACAAUUAUGGUGUAGAUUUGAAUUUAAGUUUGAAAUUGAAAAAUAAUUGAGUUGAUAGGUAAAAUAGGUUUGAUCGGGAAGCCAACACCAUCACCCACCACGACCCUUGCUGAUGGCGAAGGAUCAAAGAGAACAAUAUCAAAGGAGGGUUGAUCGUGCUAGAGCAGAGGCGGCCGACGAAAGGAAACACAACAAAAUAGGGUAGAUCUCACCUUCAAACAUGUUUAAGAACAUAGAAGACACCAAAGUGGUAUGUCACGGCAAAGCAACAAGCUUGUCGACGGCCAAUUGAAGCAACCUCAUAAAGGAUGAAAGGUGAUGACAGGAACCAACACACCACGAAUAAAAAGGCUACAUCUUGUCUUUGGUUGUUUGGAUUUUAGGGGGAUGGAAAUCACGGGCUAAAGGCUUGGUUUGGGUGGUGCUUGUUAGGUGAGAGAAGAGAGAAUUAUUUAAAUUUAUUUAUGUUGGUGGUGUGCCGAUUUCUAUAAGUGUCACCACCUUUCAAUCUUUAUGGGUAGUUGCAAUUGACGCACGCGAGCUUAUUACUAUGCCGCGACAUACCACUUUGGUGACACCUAUAGGAACUAAAGGACCACCAACAUUUUUCUUCUUCUU